ACGAACGCUGGCGGCGUGCUUAACACCUGCAAGUCGAACGGAAAGGCCCUGCUUGCAGGGUACUCGAGUGGCGAACGUGUGAGUAACACGUGGGUGAUCUGCCCUGCACUUCGGGAUAAGCCUGGGAAACUGGGUCUAAUACCGGAUAGGAGCCAUUUUUAGUGUGAUGGUUGGAAAGUUUUUUCGGUGUAGGAUGAGCUCGCGGCCUAUCAGCUUGUUGGUGGGGUAAUGGCCUACCAAGGCGGCGACGGGUAGCCGGCCUGAGAGGGUGGACGGCCACAUUGGGACUGAGAUACGGCCCAGACUCCUACGGGAGGCAGCAGUGGGGAAUAUUGCACAAUGGGCGCAAGCCGGAUGCAGCGACGCCGCGUGGGGGAUGACGGCCUUCGGGUUGUAAACUCCUUUCGCUAGGGACGAAGCUUUUUGUGACGGUACCUAGAGAAGAAGCACCGGCUAACUACGUG
RNAcentral lists this ribosomal RNA (464 nucleotides) under uncultured bacterium. RNAcentral describes it as "partial 16S ribosomal RNA". It matches the Rfam family "Bacterial small subunit ribosomal RNA", at positions 29 to 507 of the family's 1533-position model. The record is from RNAcentral.